This 467-nucleotide ribosomal RNA is filed under the name uncultured bacterium. RNAcentral's name for it is "partial 16S ribosomal RNA". It matches the Rfam family "Bacterial small subunit ribosomal RNA", at positions 28 to 507 of the family's 1533-position model. The record is from RNAcentral.
GAUGAACGCUGGCGGCGUGCUUAACACAUGCAAGUCGAACGGAAAGGCCCAAGCUUGCUUGGGUACUCGAGUGGCGAACGGGUGAGUAACACGUGGGUGAGCUGCCCUGCACUUCGGGAUAAGCCUAGGACACUGGGUCUAAUACCGGAUAGGACGAUGGCUUGGAUGCCAUUGUGGAAAGUUUUUUCGGUGUGGGAUGAGCUCGCGGCCUAUCAGCUUGUUGGUGGGGUAAUGGCCUACCAAGGCGUCGACGGGUAGCCGGCCUGAGAGGGUGUACGGCCACAUUGGGACUGAGAGACAGCCCAGACUCCUACGGGAGGCAGCAGUGGGGAAUAUUGCACAAUGGGCGCGAGCCUGAUGCAGCGACGCCGCGUGGGGGAUGACGGACUUCGGGUUGUAAACUCCUUGCGCUAGGGACGAAGCGUUUUGUGACGGUACCUGGAGAAGAAGCACCGGCUAACUACGUG